AAGUCGUAACAAGGUAACCGUAGGUGAACCUGCGGUUGGAUCAUUAAAAAAUUCCAACUAGAAGAGCAUCUCGAAAGAGAUGUUUCUUUAAACACCCUUGUGAACCGUUUAUUGUCUCUGGUGGGUUAAAAUGUCGCAAGACUGGUUUAACAACCGCCCACCUAUUUAAACUACAUAUUAUAUUUAGACUUUAUAAUUCUUUUGAAUUCUUUGAAUUUAAAAACAACUUUUGACAACGGAUCUCUUGGUUCUC
This 253-nucleotide unclassified non-coding RNA is filed under the name fungal sp. RNAcentral's name for it is "partial internal transcribed spacer region". The stretch from base 1 to 46 matches the Rfam family "Eukaryotic small subunit ribosomal RNA", at positions 1786 to 1831 of the family's 1831-position model. Lineage: Eukaryota; Fungi. The record is from RNAcentral.